This 439-nucleotide long non-coding RNA is filed under the name Rattus norvegicus (Norway rat). RNAcentral's name for it is "long non-coding RNA NONRATT030260". The record is from RNAcentral. Lineage: Eukaryota; Metazoa; Chordata; Mammalia; Rodentia; Muridae.
AUCUUCCCAAUGAGAGGCGGCUGAUGCCAAAUACAGGACGGAGUGCAGCCCACAAGAACCACAGCUGCCAGUGAAGAGAGAAUGCAGCCAGAAGCCAUGAGUCACCCACCUGAGACAGGUUCCCCUUCUUCUUGCAGUUGGUCCCUCCAAUGAAGAUCAUGUUGGGCAUGACUGGCCGGGGGUAUUCGAACACAAAAUCAUACCGUAACAGCCACAGAGAGUUCUGGUGUAAGGCAGCCACAUUCCCUGAAGCUACCAGAAAAUUCCACAGCACCCUUGGAAGAAGAUGCGCUUGGGAAAAGCAAACGACCAUUUUGGUACUGCUAUGAGAAAAGUGCAGUCGACUCCUAAGAUGGGCUCAAAAAAGCCACAGGGCUCCUAGAAUGUAUUUUGAAACCUCUGGUUUGAUACUGGGGGAGAAUAAACCUUCCCACCUGUG